This 265-nucleotide long non-coding RNA is filed under the name Lathyrus oleraceus (garden pea). Its description in RNAcentral is "Pisum sativum (pea) long non-coding RNA (PSAT_LNC034728)". Lineage: Eukaryota; Viridiplantae; Streptophyta; Magnoliopsida; Fabales; Fabaceae. The record is from RNAcentral.
UUUUCUUUUGCUUUGAAGUAAUCACCUAUUAUGGGUUGUCUUAAUCUAAUGAAUUUGAUUUUGUUUACCUCCAGUUUCCUGUUUAUUUCGUUAGAUAUGUGACUAUGUCUGGCUAUUGGUUAUCUUGAUCACUUACACCAAAUACUUGGGCGUCCUCUCUUUCAGUCCCCUGACUGUAGAUACUGUUGUUUAUGAUUGGACGCACUGGUUAAGAUUAACAUCAGAACCACGAGCAUGAGCUUUGAACUCAGAGGUAUGAUAGAAC